UUCACUUAGAUACUUGACCCGUGUGUUUGAGGUGGGUAAAAGCUGGAGAUGAAUUAGUUUGGUUGCUAAAGAUCGUCAAAUACGCGAUAUAAGAAUUGAUCUUCACUAGGACUUAAUCGAUCUCAGUUGUUUCCUCUGUCUAGGACUCUGACUCAAUCGAUCUUCAACUUUGAUCGAUCAUUAGCUUUAGUCUGAAUCGAUCUUUGUGCCGCCUCAUAUCCGAAUCGAUCUUUACUUCAAUUCGAAUCCAUCUUUGUACUGAUCUCAGCUUCAAUCGAUCUUACCUAUUGUAACUUCAAUCCGAAUCGAUUAAGAUCUCAGCUUCAAUCCGAAUCGAUCGUUGAAGAUCUGAGUUCUUUGGCUUCAAUCGGAAGAUAUAUAUAAGUUUGAGUAAAUUGAUUUGGUUUCUAACAGAGAUCGUAGUAAUUUGGAUUCAAUAGCGAUUUGGGAACAUGUUCAAUCAUGAAAUACUUUCAUGGCCAAGAUCAGUCCAACUGUUCAUCCAAGCAAGUGAAUGAUAGAUUUGUCGCAGAGGUUGCACCAUUGUCACCCUCUGGUACUGUUCUCAUACUGUAUGCUGCUUUUUGUUUCUUUUUACUUUAGUUUUACCAUUAGUUUUGCAAUUUUGGUAAAGUAUGGCAUUCUUUCAGGAACUGCAAGAUAUUCAGAGUUGCAUACAACUAAACUGCCCAUAGAAUCCCAUGAGGAAGAAAUAAGGAUUAGGUAUGCCGAGUCUGGAUCAACAGGAAAACAAGGGAGAAGUAUCUACGAGAGAGGUUUGCAUUUAUGUUGGCUUAAAUUUAGUUUAUUGAUUAAUUGUUUUAAUGGGUACCAAUAUAUUGUUACAAGGAAGCUAAGGGAGAAGUAUCAUUUCUAGCAUUUGAAUAUCUAAUGAUUAUGACAUGGAUGGUUCCUUAUUUUAUUUAAUUGCGCCUUUUGAUCAUGUUUAUUCUACGUCCUAGGUAUAUGGCAUAUAUUAUGGACACUAAUGAAGAGGAGAGAGUUAAGGUACACCUUAUUCUGAAAGAACUAGCGAGGAAAUCACUAUCAACAACACAGGUCCUUCAAAAAUAUGUAAAGAACUAGAUAUCAAUUGUUGUACCAUUUCAGGAUAAGUGAUGACAUACCAGUUGACAAGGAUACUAGUUUGAGAUUGCAACUUGAUAUGUCAAUUUUUGAAAGUUUUUUGAAAGCAGAAUCAAACAGUUUGGAAACUUUGAAUUUUAAUUUUUGUAAAAUUUUACUUUCUAUGUAC
Non-coding RNA from Camellia sinensis, 1255 nucleotides. NCBI's taxonomy places the organism in Eukaryota, Viridiplantae, Streptophyta, Magnoliopsida, Ericales, Theaceae. The record is from RefSeq and is a predicted model, not a curated record.